GGAUCGGUAGUUUAGUAGGUUAGAAUAUCGGCCUGUCGCGCCGAAGGUCGCGGGUUCGACUCCCGUCCGAUCCG
Molecule: transfer RNA, 74 nt
Filed under: Candidatus Portiera aleyrodidarum (primary endosymbiont of Bemisia tabaci)
Lineage: Bacteria; Pseudomonadati; Pseudomonadota; Gammaproteobacteria; Johnevansiales (SeqCode); Johnevansiaceae (SeqCode)
Description: tRNA-Asp
Rfam family: tRNA
About the family: Transfer RNA (tRNA) molecules are approximately 80 nucleotides in length. Their secondary structure includes four short double-helical elements and three loops (D, anti-codon, and T loops).
Source: RNAcentral